Molecule: unclassified non-coding RNA, 123 nt
Filed under: uncultured Archaeorhizomyces
Lineage: Eukaryota; Fungi; Ascomycota; Archaeorhizomycetes; Archaeorhizomycetales; Archaeorhizomycetaceae
Description: sequence contains ITS1
Source: RNAcentral
ACGAAUUUGGGCCCCAAUUGGAUCCAUCAUCCCCCUCAAACCUGUGGAAGUGAGAUGUGUUUCGGCGCCCAGAGGCGCCGAAUCUAUGCCGUUUAGCUUGUGUCUGAAGUAAAAACAGAUUUA